AGAGUUUGAUCAUGGCUCAGGACGAACGCUGGCGGCAUGCCUAACACAUGCAAGUCAAGGGGUAGCAAUACCACUGGCGCACGGGUGAGUAACACGUAGGUUAUCUACCCCCAUCACAGACAUAACCCCGGGAAACCGGGGCUAAUAUCUGAUGAGGUCGCGAGAUCAAAGUCUUCGGACGGAUGGGGAUGAGCCUGCGGCUGAUUAGCUAGUUGGUGAGGUAAUGGCUCACCAAGGCGACGAUCAGUAGCUGGUCUGAGAGGACGAACAGCCACACUGGAACUGAGACACGGUCCAGACUCCUACGGGAGGCAGCAGUGAGGAAUAUUGGUCAAUGGGAGCAAUCCUGAACCAGCAAUGCCGCGUGUGGGAUGACAGGGCUCAGCCUUGUAAACCACUGUCGGACGGGACGAAAGGAGGCCUCGGGCCUCUGGGACGGUACCGUCAAAGGAAGGGUCGGCUAACUACGUGCCAGCAGCCGCGGUA
This 486-nucleotide ribosomal RNA is filed under the name uncultured bacterium. RNAcentral describes it as "bacterial SSU rRNA". It matches the Rfam family "Bacterial small subunit ribosomal RNA", at positions 8 to 522 of the family's 1533-position model. The record is from RNAcentral.